This 350-nucleotide ribosomal RNA is filed under the name Burkholderia cepacia. RNAcentral describes it as "bacterial SSU rRNA". It matches the Rfam family "Bacterial small subunit ribosomal RNA", at positions 994 to 1333 of the family's 1533-position model. The record is from RNAcentral. Lineage: Bacteria; Pseudomonadati; Pseudomonadota; Betaproteobacteria; Burkholderiales; Burkholderiaceae.
GAAUCUGCUGACAGGUGGUUAUGCUCGAAAGAGAACCGGCGCCAGGGGCGUAAUGGCUGUCGUCAGCUCGUGUCGUGAGAUGUUGGGUUAAGUCCCGCAACGAGUUUCAACCCUUGUNGCUUAGUUGCUACGCAAGAGCACUCUAAGGAGACUGCCGGUGACAAACCUGAGAAGUGGGAUGACGUCAAGUCCUCAUGGCCCUUAUGGUAGGGCUUCACACGUCAUACAAUGGUCGGAACAGACGGUUGCCAACCCCUCCUNCUACGACNGAUCCCAAUUUUUCGAUCUUAUCCGAUUGCACUCUGCAACUCGAGUGCAUGAACUGAAUCCUAUAAUCGCGAUCACAUGCC